AUAAACCUCCAUACGUGCGCAGUUCCAUAAUAAAAUAAACUUCAGGCCACCUAUUACUACAUGACAAAAACUUAACUAAACAAAUAAAGCAGGCUUCUUGAAGUUGUUGCAUUUUCAAUCAAAUAAAAUGUUAGUGUCACAGUAUUGGCACCAUUUCUGGAGACAAAAAGGAUCAAAUCUUUUAAAUAUUAGAUGCCUCACGUUCAGUAGAACCUUUUGUUGGCCAAAUGUUUAGCAGGUUUACAAGUUCCAAAAAGAUCCAGCAGUGCAACACAUGCUGAUUUAAUUAGGCUAUCGCUCAUCUUAUCUCCUCCUUACGGUGUUCUGACUUCUGACUAUAAAUACCUCCUCUGAUUCUUCUAUUCCAUCACCAGUUUGAGAUACCCCUCAUUAGAGAAAAAAAAACAAACAAUAAGAAAUGGAUUCUCUUUCUUCAAAACCCAAUCACGUUCGAUCAAUCAGUUUGCCCGGGAGAUCACACCCUACCACCCAGAGAGUUGAAGAGGAGCUCAACAAGCUCAAAUCAUUGGAAGUAUCAGCUGCACCAGCAGCUGUGAGCAAUGGUUUAAUCGGUUUAGAGAAAUUGUACAAGUGCAUAGAUGAUCUUCUCAACUUGCCUCAAAUACUUCAAGCCCUCUCUCAGAGUCUAAAUGCAAAAUGGCUUGACGAUUUAUUGGAUAAAUCAGUGAGGCUUCUUGAUCUUUGUGGCACAAUAAGGGAACUCGUCUCACAAUGUAAAGAAAAUGUAAGAGAUUUACAAUCAUCUCUUAGAAGGAGAAAAGGAGAUUCAACUACAGAUGACAGCGUUGAAAGAUUUACCUCUUUCUGCAAGAAGAUCAAGAGGGACGCCAAAAGAUCUGUCUCGACUUUGAAACAAAUGGAUCAAGAGACUGCAGUAUUGGUCUUGCUAGAUGCAGAUCAAGAUACAGUAGAUGUGAUUAGAGCACUAAAAGAAGCUAAUGCAGUAUGCCUUUCAACUUUCCAAAUGCUAUUAUCCUUCUUGUGUGUACCCCUUUUGAAGCCUAAGCCAUCAAAGUGGUCUUUGCUUUCAAGAUUGGUGCAAAAAGAAAGAAUAGCAUCUGAAUACCACGAAGAAAACAUGAGUUUGGAAACAAGGCUGGAAACUUUCGAGGCUUACCUUGACAGCUUUGAAGAUGGAUUGGAAGCAACAUUUAGGUGUCUCAUUAGAUCUAGAAGCUCGCUCCUCAAUAUUUCCUCCUCCUAAUCUGUCAGUUGUUAUUCCAAACACUGUAAAUUGUAUAUAAACAGUUUUGUAGUUAUGCUUAGAAAUACACAAAUCUCAAGUGAAUGAAUAUACACCAAUUUAAUAUCUCUUUCUAUGCGUGUACUUUCAUCAAUAGCCCAAAAUAUUCGUCAAAAUGGCUCUCUUAAAACUGGGGGUUUGAAAUAGAUAAAACUCAUAGCCCGUCAGUUACACACUUACGCCACAUAAUUGGUUUUGUUAAUCAAACCAAGGAAGCCUCUCGUGUAAAGUCAGAUGACGUGAAUAAUUGACCUGAAAAGUGAGAUUAAUUC
This 1536-nucleotide long non-coding RNA is filed under the name Solanum tuberosum (potato). Its description in RNAcentral is "long non-coding RNA (STUB_LNC003121)". The record is from RNAcentral. Lineage: Eukaryota; Viridiplantae; Streptophyta; Magnoliopsida; Solanales; Solanaceae.